This is a long non-coding RNA of Bos taurus (domestic cattle), 1037 nucleotides long. The record is from Ensembl. NCBI's taxonomy places the organism in Eukaryota, Metazoa, Chordata, Mammalia, Artiodactyla, Bovidae.
UUGGGAAGAUCCCCUGGAGAAGGGAAAGGCUACCCACUCCAGUAUUAUGGCCUGGAGAAUUCCAGAGACUGUAUAGUCCAUGGGGUUGCAAAGAUUUGGACACAGCUGAGCAACUUUCACUUUCAUUUUUCAUGAAUCAUACAAUGAGGAAGUAAGUUAAGUCAGUGGCUUCUCCUUUAGAUGAUACGUGUUUUUAGUAUAAAGAGACUGCCAGCUCCAUUCAUAACCUCAAACUUGUAUCAGCCAUAGUUUGAGAUGAAAGAAAAGGCCUCAGAUGGGUUUCUGUACUACAGCCGUCACAGUGGGUUUAGUGAAAAAUCUCAAGAUAAGAAAACUAUAGCUUCGCAAGAUUAACUGUCCUUACAGGAUGGAUUGUGUCCUCCCCCCAAAAUAUGGUGAAGUCUUAACCCACAAUACCUGUGCAUCUGACCUUAUUUGGAAUUAGGGUCUUUGGAGAUGUAGCCAAGUUCAGAUGAGGUCGUUAAGGUGGGCCCUAAUCCAAGAUCACACCAGUCAAUCCUAAAAGAAAUCAACCUUGAAUACUCAUUGAAAGGACUGAUGCUGAAGCUCCAAUACUUUGGCCACCUGAUGUGAAGAGCCAACUUAUUAGAAAAGAUCCUAAUGCUGGGAAAGACUGAAGGUAGGAGAAAGGGGUGACAAGGGAUGAGAUGGUUGGAUGGCAUCACCAACUCAAUGGACAUGAGUUGAGCAAACUCCAGGAGAUGGUGAAGGACAGGGAGGCCUGGCAUGCUGCAGUCAACGGGGUCACAGUCGGACAUGACUUAGCGACUGAACAACAACAAAUUCGAACACAGAGACAGACAUGCACAGAAAGGAGACAAUGUGGAGACACAGAGGGAGAAGAUGGCCCUGUGACAAUGCAGGCAGAGACUGGACUGGUACCCCUACAAGUCAAGAAAUACCAGGGGUUACAAAUACCAGGAGCUAGGAGAGACAAGAAGGAAUCUCCUCCCAGAUCCUUCUGAGGGAGCCUGGCCUUGCUGACACCUUGACUUUGGACUUCAAGCCUCCAGACC